This 443-nucleotide long non-coding RNA is filed under the name Vulpes vulpes (red fox). RNAcentral's name for it is "lncRNA (ENSVVUG00000015650.1)". The record is from RNAcentral. Lineage: Eukaryota; Metazoa; Chordata; Mammalia; Carnivora; Canidae.
GUCUUUAAAAGCUAUAAGAAAUGCUAGAACUCAUUCAUUCUCAACCCUCUUCUCCAUGAAGGAUUAAAUUCCAUGGAAGAAUCUUUGCAUCAUCAGUAACUAAGAUGAGAACAUUGACAGGCUGCUGAUAGUAUUCCCAGAUGACAUCACCGACACACUAGAUGAUGAAGCAGAAUCCAGUAAUUCAGUUUAACAACUAUUUACUGGUCACCAAGGAGGAGUCAGGCUGGAGUGAUUUGAUCCAGGCCUAGCAGCAUAGAUGGUGAAGAUUUCAUCCCAAAGUAAAUGUCAGUCACAAGUGGGCAUCAAGGAUAGUCCAGCUUAACUGCAGCAAGCUUUUAUGGAAGUCUUCUCCACGUUCUUCUUCUAGCAUAUCUAAGACUUAUAGUUUUGAGAAAGAGAUGAGAAGGAAAACAGCAAUACUUCAUAAAACAUCAAAAAAG